RNAcentral lists this transfer RNA (68 nucleotides) under Treponema berlinense. It matches the Rfam family "tRNA". From Rfam's summary of the family: Transfer RNA (tRNA) molecules are approximately 80 nucleotides in length. Their secondary structure includes four short double-helical elements and three loops (D, anti-codon, and T loops). Further hydrogen bonds mediate the characteristic L-shaped molecular structure. tRNAs have two regions of fundamental functional importance: the anti-codon, which is responsible for specific mRNA codon recognition, and the 3' end, to which the tRNAs corresponding amino acid is attached (by aminoacyl-tRNA synthetases). tRNAs cope with the degeneracy of the genetic code in two manners: having more than one tRNA (with a specific anti-codon) for a particular amino acid; and 'wobble' base-pairing, i.e. permitting non-standard base-pairing at the 3rd anti-codon position. Lineage: Bacteria; Pseudomonadati; Spirochaetota; Spirochaetia; Treponematales; Treponemataceae. RNAcentral also lists the same sequence under 1 other name. The record is from RNAcentral.
GGAUGUAGCGCAGCUGGUAGCGCGCUUGGUUUGGGACCAAGAUGUCGCAGGUUCGAAUCCUGUCAUCC